GGAAGAUGUGUCAUACAGUGCUUUAGCAUUUAUAUGAUACUUAUCUCAACAGAAAAUACAUGUGGUUUUGUGUUGCAUCUUGUUCUUCUUGCAAUCACUUUUUGUAGUUAUUACAUCCAAAAUUCUAACUGGCUUGAGUUCUGCACAUUUUUAAUGUAUAUUGCUGUUAUUUGUUCGAAGAUGCGGCAUAUAUUGCUCCAACAUUUACAUAAUUGUGUCUUG
This 222-nucleotide unclassified non-coding RNA is filed under the name Hevea brasiliensis (rubber tree). The record is from RNAcentral. Lineage: Eukaryota; Viridiplantae; Streptophyta; Magnoliopsida; Malpighiales; Euphorbiaceae.